AUGCGAUAAGUAAUGUGAAUUGCAGAAUCUCGUGAAUCAUCGAAUCUUUGAACGCACAUUGCGCCCUAUGGUAUUCCGUAGGGCAUGCCUGUCUGAGCGUCAGCUCCCCCCCACUCAAGCAUCUUUGUGAAGCUUGGAUUACUUUGAAGAAGUGGCCUUCUUGCAAGGCUGCUCUUCAGAAAUUCAUCGGCAGUAUGGUUUGUCUCUCAACCAGACGUAAUAAUAAUAAAACCGUCUAUUGGGGAAUCAUUGUACUUGCCCAAACACACCCAUCUUUAACUGGGUGACCUCAGAUCAGGUAGGGAUACCCGCUGAACUUAA
Molecule: ribosomal RNA, 321 nt
Filed under: uncultured Peziza
Lineage: Eukaryota; Fungi; Ascomycota; Pezizomycetes; Pezizales; Pezizaceae
Description: eukaryotic LSU rRNA
Rfam family: 5.8S ribosomal RNA (bases 1-102)
Source: RNAcentral